AACCCGGGAGCGGUCGCGUCGUGUACUGUGUACACGCACCAUGAAAAAUGCUCGCAUGUGGUACACAACGUGAGCGGGGCGUCGCUGCAGGUAGUCAAAGACGCGACUGCUCGAGGGUUAAUUGAGCUCAUGCAUUUGAUUCGCCAUCACAGCCUACGAACAAGAUAAGGCCAUUUCCUUAGCUUAAACUUGUUUCGUCCAAUGCUUGUGCUCUUCUCCUUCAAGCUUCCUUCGUCUGGAUGUCCCCAAUCACUUUGUGCCAAGCUUUGUGCGUCUUGUAUGAACAACCAACCCUUCUCAAGAAGUUUGUUAUGCCCCUGCCAAUAAGAUGUUUUCUAGAUCUAGUCUUCCACUUAAGAGUAUCACACUUGCUCUAGUUCAGCACUAUUUCUUAACGCUAUAUUCUUGAUUCACAAUUUUCUCUUCUUGAGCCUCACGCCAAGUUCGGUGAAAUUGGCAUAGCUCUACCGUAUGGGCUACGUCCAGUAUACAAUAUUUUUUCGGGGUCCUAUCAUCCCAGGUUUUCCAUGAUUAUUCUUUGUUACCCUGUCUUCUUGGCGGUUUCAUUGGCGGUUCUUCGCAACUAAUGCCGGAAAUUUGAUUUGCUGGGUACGGCGCUGCACAUUGCAAACCGUGAGUCGUUUCUGGGCUCAUAACCUGUUGAAUAUCUCACUAAAGCAUCACAUUGAGGCUCGAUCAUUUCAGAGUACAUAGGAGCACAGAGAACAGACGUCUAUUUUCGCUUUUCUGCCUUGUGUUAAACUUUGAACCGGUCACAUUAGAGUAUGUCGUUAUGCUCUCGUUGCGUGUCGCUAGCAUCCCAUCACUUACAUUGGCAUGCUGUCAUUUUUGUUUCCAGUGUUCGCCGUUUUUGACGCUCGUGUCACUUUGUGAGCUAGUGUGUUUUAACUAGAGUGACUGUAAGAGAGAGUGGCGUCAAUGUGAAAAUUGGAGCGGCGAUCAUCUGUCAAACGCAUACAAAUUUCCGUUCUGAAUGAGCAGGAGACCUGCCAAAAUCGGAACAUGACGCUACUCUCCCUUCCAGUCACUCUAGUUUUAACGAUGAAGACCGCUAUCGUGUGGUAAAAUCGAGUUUAUAUGUCAGGUAGUCUCCGUUGGUGGUGUUGAGCUACACUGAAAUCCUUUACAUACGUUUUCGACCUAUUUUUGUUCGAGCUUAAACGUCUGUUCUCUGUGAUAGAAGUUCACAGAGGUUAUCGCAAUUACUACAGCAGAUGAUAAUACUCUGACCUGACAGGUGGUGUAACUAGUCAUGCUUCACUGAACACGGUUCUUUAAAUGAUCGUUACGCCACUAUCUCUGUCAUCACUCUUUUUGGACGUCGAAUUCUCGCUUCUUAGUCACCUCGCUCUUCUAGGGAAGAGUCCCAAGUAACCAAAAGUUCCGCUUCCCAUGACAAAAUGCACUUUCAAGUUCCACGAAGUUCAGAUAAAGUUCCAAAUGGAACUUUCUGGCUGCUUAAGAGGCUAACGAUGAGCCUUGCUGGAACUUCGGGCACAAUGUGUUUCAAUGAGCUCAAAUAUACCUCGGAACGAUCAAGAUAUCGUCAUAUUGUCGGUCGUGUGCGGGAAAAAUCCGUUAGUUGUCGUCCGUAGUUUUCGCCCGUGUUCGGUGAAGUAAAACGCGAAUAUCAAUAUAUUCCGAACAAUCCUCAAGUCCGUAGUGCGAAGCCCAAAUGCGCGUGUGCAUCAAGUACAUCUUUACGAAGAAAGGUGACCGAGCAGUGAAAGUGCACCACGGUCCAGCAUCCAUCCAACUAACAACAACAUCCGUGGGUGAGCUCCAGCGUACAAGAUCUUCUGGGCCGUCUGCUACCAGACGGUGGAAAAUCCCUUCGACGAGGAACGGGUAAGCCCCUUGGCUGGUUCGUCUCUUACACCGUCUUCAGCCAGAGGCUGCACAGACUGAACAUUACACAUACACGAGACAACGGACAACACACAUAACACCCAGUGGCCCAAUGGAGAAUUUUCCGUUCGACGAAAAGUUUUCCCCGACUGGAGCGGGAAUCGAACCCGCACUCCGAGGCUUACGAAACGCCUAGACGACUGACGCCGUUAACCGCACGGCCACGACAGCAGCUAAAGUCUGACUUGAAUCGAUUUUCUGUCGGCAGCUAGUUUUGCACAUUUGUACAGUAGUGAAGUUAACUUGACUUUGUCAAGUGUCCUCAGCAGCGCAGCGGUAAGUCGGCAGGUUAUCACGCAGGAGGAUCCAGUUCAAAUCUACAUAGCAGCGACAUGUGUGAAAAUAUAAUUAUCAGAAGCAAUUUCCAGACGUGAAUCACAAACCCACCAACAGGGUUGUGAUUCUGAAAACACAUUUUUGUUUCUGCAUGAAUUUUGUCAAAGUUCUGUCAGAAGCUGCUUAGAAGGCUAUCCAGCGUGCUUAUGUGAACUUUCAAGUUCCAAAAUUACUUAAAAAUGAAGCUGCUUAGAAGGCUAAUGAGCAACCUCGAACAAGCUGCUUAGCUUAUAAAGUACCCUUUUAUCUGAACUUUUGGUUACUUGGGUUAUGCCGUUCUGUUUCGCGUGUUCAAGUCCGGAACAACACCCUUUGACCAGUUCCAAUCUUUACUGUUGUUCCUCCACUUCGAUCGUGUCCUCUAAGCUUUUAAAUCAAGGCAGCUGUUUAUUGAGAGACUGCUCUCGAAUUUCAAAGUGCAAUAUCCAAGUCAAUACACUUCCUAAACCACAAAUCGUUCAUUCUCAAUGACCGUGAAGGGUAUCUUAUUAUCAACUCGGACUCAAGGAGUCUCAAACUGUUGGAUUCUCUGACUCCACGACCUAUCUGGCGACCAGUUUGAUCCCGAGUCAAUUGAAUAAACGUUGUUCGAGAUUCCUAAGAGCCCAUCUAUUCGUAGGUAUUGUCCUAGAAUGCCAGAGUUGUUGUCCUCUCCUCGAUGGAAUACCACCAAGUGUAAUAACUUAAGAAUGCCCCUUUGCAAACCAUCACGACCGGAUACGCGAGAGAUAAGAGGUACUUUGAACCGUGAUACUAUCAUACAGGUCCAGGUCAUAUCCAAGCGUCUACCGGUUGGAAGCCUGUUAGUGUAAAGACUUCAGAGUUGAAACCAAGGUGUCGUUGAUUCAGUACGAGACGCACUGAGCCCAAUGAGAAUCCAUACCAUCUGUUUACAGAUAGGUUAAACGAUAAUACAUGAGCCAAUCAUUAGGUCAUUUGAUUCGAAUUCCUCGGCAUUCCUUGAGUUGAUAUCUAACAUCCGGAUGAGUGUGUAUGCGUCGAUGUUGCUGGGAUUAAUAACAGGAAAAGACGAUACAUCUGAGGCUUUCUUGGCUAGUGUAGAUCCAUGGAUUGUACCAUUUGUAGCAUCAUGGCACCUGAUAUUUAACAGCUUAGGAUGGAACUGUGCCGGACUGUUAUUUAAAGUCUAACAAGUCUUAGUAAUACCUUGGGGUAGAACACGGAUCAAAAUGGUCCUGUUUCGUCAUCCAACCGUCGAGAUUAACAAGUCUAGAUCGUGUCAGAAGAUCGAUAUGCCCAAAUAGGUCGGUAUUCCGCGUCCAUCGUUGGAAGGUAUUUGGUAUUUCUUAGAUGGCUUUUCAUAUCAAAAUUAUGUGGAUGUUUUGUUUUGAACGCCCUUGAUCCUUGAAUGGCCUCCUGGUAAAAAUAUUGUGAGAAGUUUCCGGUAGUACCAAUCCGCAGAAACGAUGAACUCUAUUGUCAGGUACAAUAUAAACCACAAAGGUCGACGAACCGUUCAUCUUUUCGGCUCCACUGAGUACUGACAUUCGUGUGGUAAACCUUGUAGUAGUGAAAUAGUUUCAUAACAUCUCGGUGUUAAUGUAAACGAUGUCGCGAAAUCGUACAGGACUAGGCUGCUUCAGGUGAUGACAACCGAUAUCCAUUUCUACCUACAGAAACGAUUCGGCUAAUGGCCUUAAAGUUCACUAGCUUCGCGAUUAUAGUGUAAAGCCGACAGUCAACCCUGUUACGCCACCUGGAACAUCAUACAAAGCUAUUCUGACGAAUGUAAGUGUUCGCUGCGCAGUUCAAUGUGGAGUAUAUUUGAGAUUUUGCAAGUAGUGUCCGUAAGUGUCAUGCAGUUUCUCCGUCAGUCACUGUUAGUCCAUAGUUCAGGAGUCUAUCGUACUUUGUCGCCAUCUACGCUGCAUCCAAAACCCACCGCCGGAGGGAAAACGAGAUCCUGUUGAUAGCCAGAAAGGGGUGGAGAUAUGGGCCGUUAAGAUGGAUGUGUUAACGGACACGAUGAUUCGGAAGAAACACGAACGGUCUAGGUCGCUGACCGAGUGUGAAGGACAGUGACCUGUUUGUACUCCAUGAUGCUUCAGACUGCCAGAAGAACCGCCAACUUGAAAGGUUGCAGUGAGUGGUCGUGCGGAUGGUUGUGCCCGUGUCCAUACCCAGAUCCAUAGAAACCCGCUGUUUUACACAGAACUUCGUUUCUGUAGGUCUGCAAGGAGCUCCUCCCUCCAUACGUUGGGCAGGUUCAUCGUAUCCCGACGUCGACCAAGUCCGUCAACAUACUCGGCAACCCGAAGGCUACUGGAGCGCUGAGAGCGUAUGGUCACCAUUGUACAAGAUUUCCAGAUCCAAGCACUGAUUGCGGAUGUUGAAGUAGUCUGCUAUGCUCACGAAAACCAUAGUGCCUUGAGGUAUCAGCUGCUUUCACUCUCUAUAUUAUAUCUAGGUAUACACCUAGUGUUCACACAAACUCCAGUGUCGAGGGCUCGUAAAAUGCGAUGGCCUAUGACGAAGAAUCGCGCAGGAUUGUGCCCUAACAUUUGAACUGUUUCGAGUUGGACAUCACAACGGGAAAUGUGGGAUCAGUAGGUCGGCUCCAGAGGCACGUUCUCCCUCAUUUGGGAAAUUUGUGUCACAAGGACGAAAAGUGAUCGGUUUGAACUGGGUAUUUAAGAUGAAGAGUACGUAGGUAACAAGUUUAGACAUGUGGUGGAGCUUAAAGUCGGCAUAGUUGCGCAAGGCUUUGUUUCUCGCCGUUAAACAUCUUGAUGGUAAGAGAUUAGACGAGUCACUUCCUCCAUGCCUGGUGAAGCGCGAAGAAGAAGCUCUCAAAUCACGUCUUCUCUGUCGUCUGCUGAUCAGGUGAUCGAUGGUUUCGGGAUGAGCCAGGCCAGCACAGCGUAAAACCCUUUUGAUAAGACUACAAAGUACACCAAAACUGUGGAUACUAGCAAUAAUGAACUCCAGAAUCCGACGUAGUAUUGAAGCCUGAUGGUGGGUGGCCUUCCCUACAUUUUAGUACCACGACUUCACCUAAUUCAAAUCAUUUUUUUUCGGAUCCCAGUUCCGUUCAUGUCAUUUGGUUUACAUGCGGUGUGUCUUACCUAAAGACCUAAGAGAAAAGGCUUUGAAGUCAGCCAAUUGCUAAUAUAUUGGACAGGCAGCUUUAGAGCGCAUAAUGAGUACCAAAACCGAAAAUUUUAAUGAGACCUGCCCACUAUUGUUGGAAAAGAAUCCACCAGCUCCAUUGUCAUCUCGCAAACUUCCUAAGGGACCGUGGGAAAUUGUCCAGAUAGACUUUUAUGAUUAUUCUGCAAAUGGAGUGAUGUGACAAAAGUCGGAAUCGUUUAUCGAGGUGUGAAAUCUCGACUCGAAUGAAGUGAGUCGCCGUGUAUUGGAAAUCAAUAAACUUUUUUUAAAGAAAUUUUUGCUAAUUUUGGGUUGUUUACAACAUGCAUCGGAAGUGAUGUAUAUGAUAGUGCAUCAUUGAACGUACACAGCGCAUAACAUCCGAUACUGAAAAAGUGUCGCUAGUCAAAACGUCGCCAUUCGGUUUGGUUCUGGUGCCAUAAUAAACCAAAUAGAGAGUCGCCUCAUUCGAGUUGAGAUUUCUCACUUCGAUAUGUCGUCUCGUCACUCCAGUCAUAGAAUGACCACAUUUCUCAUGUUCUCAGGUUUGGGGUCCGGAGAGUUUCUUAUGAUUGUGGACACUUACUCGAAGUUGCUUUUUGUCGUUGAAGUGCAUCAUAAGGCAAUGUGAUUAUUGAUUAUGCCCUUUUCAUUUGUACGUGUAGAUACGCGCACUUUUCUGGCUCUACUAGAGACAGAACACAAAUAUUGUAACGACAAAGUACUUUGCUUUGGAAUGUCUUAAGAUGCUAGCACACAUGGUCAAAUAUUUGACCAAAAACAACUCAAUGCUCAAACAUUUGUUCAAGUUCAGUUCUUGUCAAAUAUUUGCUUCAGUUUUCCUCACAAGUUUCUUGUAAUCAAACCCCAAACCCGCUUCCUUGCGUCAGCUGGGCUGUUGACUAGUAUCCACUGAACAUUACCGAUACUCUCUCUAUCGUCGGGUUCCUCCGGGAACAACCUUCCGGAGCCCACGACUCCAACAGUUUAAAUGGAUACCAUUUUAUAAACUUUAAUAGAAGAUCUGCGAUCUUCAAUAAUUUCCUGAAAAAAAGUCCUUAAGGUCUACAAUGGAUUGGGAUGAUGGUCAGAUGUUCAUAGGGAUUCCUGUGUCUAGGUUGCAUCAAGAUUUCUGUUCAGAUUCCUUCAGAAUCGUUGCGCAGAUUCCAUUAGGAUUACUGUCCAGAUUCUGACACGAUACUGGUAGGAACUCUGUCAAGAUUUCAUCAAAAUUCCAGACUAGAUUCCACCAAGAAUACUUCUAUGUUCCACAGAGUAAAUGUUGAGGUUCCUUCAAGAUUCGUGUCUAGAUUCUUUCAGGAUUCCUGUACAGAUUCCGUCAAUCGUCUACAAAUACCAGUAGAUAUCUCCUGCAAACUUCGGUAAAGUCUCCUGUCGAUUUCGGUAGGCAUUUCUUGCAGAUAGUGAUAGAUCCUGCAGACUCCCUUCGGAUUCAGGCAAAACUCUCCUGCAGAUUCGAGUAGAAUUCUGCAGCAAAUUUACGUAGAAAUCUCCUGCUGAAUAGAGUAAAAAUGUUCUACAGAUCCCAAUAGAAAUGUUCCGCAAAUUCCAGUAGCAGUCUUCUCUAAUUUCAAGUAGCAAUCUCCUGAAGAUUCUGGUAGAAAUCUUCUGCAAAGUCUAGUUAAAAUCUUCUACUGAUUUCAGUAAAAAUCUUCCAGAUUCGAGUAGACAUCUUUUGAAAAAAAAUUAAAAUUUCUUACAGGUUCGAGUAGAAAUCUUUUGAACAUACUAGAGAAAUAUCAUGGAAAUUCCCGUAGAAAUGUUCAGUUUCGAGUAAAAAUCUCCUGCAGAUUCGAGUACUUCCAUAGAUUCGAGUAGGAACUUCUAAAAAUUCACGUUAUUCAGGUGUUUGUUGAAAUAUGACUACCACCUUUCAAAUAUUAUGUUUUUCCUGUAAGUAGAAAAUGAAAAUGGGUACAAUGUCUUUGCCAUGUUCAUAUGCCUUUUGUGUUAUUCUAUAGUGUUUGUUGAAGUACCACUUUCACCUUUCGAACAGUUUCUCUAACAGUCAGAACGGCUGUGAGUUGAUAGUAACGAAUUUCUCUUGAAUAGCGAAAGGAAUUGACAUGUCCUAAGAUAAGUCUUACUUAUUUGAAGUGUGGACAAUGAACGUUCAUUGAAUGUCAUAUUCAAGUAACAAUAGAUAGCUUAGAUUUAUCGGUUGCUCGGUUGUUAUGAUGUAACAUCUCCCCCUCUAAAACAACCAAUAUCCUUGAAGCUUGGAUGGGAGCCCAAGCACUUGUCCAGGUCAUUCAGGUGUUUCUUGUUUUGCACGGGGUUCUUCAUUUUUUAAAAAUGAAUAUAACGUUAAAAAGUGCAUUCUAGAAAAAAUCAAUUCAAUAUUUUUGAAUCGAAAGAAAAAUCCCCAGAACUCUGGGAAGUAUUGCCACAUAGGUAGUACUGAAAUAAAUUCCCGCAGAGUGCUGAGAGAAAUUCCCCCAGAAUAUUUAAAGAGACUCCUCCAGAAUUCUGAAAAGAGUUCCUCUUGAAUUAUUGGAGAGAUUUCUUCAGAAUUCAGAAAAUGAUUUCACCAGAAUCCUGACCGACAUUAUCUAGAAAAGAAAACAGACUCUUCCGGUAUCUUGGAAGGAAUUCACUCUGAAUUCUAUUAGGGAUUUUCCUGGAAGACGGAAUGUCUCAGAUUCCCGAGAGAAAUUCUCCCAGAAUCCUGUGAUAGGUAGUCCCAGAAUCCUAAGAGAAACUUUCCCUUGGGAUUCUCUCAAAAUGUUCCAGAUUCAUAAAUAGGAUUAUCCUAGAAUCCUAAGACAAAUCCUACCAAAAUCAUGAGAGAAAUUCCAAGAGCUUUUCUUUCACAUUCUUGAGAUAAAUUCAUCUAGAAUUGUGAGAGAGAUUCCCACAAAACAAAAAAGAUUUUCGAAAUUCUAAGAUGAAUUCCCCAAGAAACUUUAAAGAAAUUACCCAGAAUCCUAAAAGGCGAGGUUGCCAAUGAAACCUGAGAUAUACUCUCACAGAAUUCUGGAAGAUAGGAUUCCCCCAAAAACUUGAGGAGAAUUCCUCCAGAAUCCGUUUAAGUAUUCUCCCAAAAUUCCCCUAAAAUUCUGGGUAGAAUCCUUUAGAAUACUGCCAUAAUCCAUAAAGGUGUUCUCUAGAAUUCUACGAGUGAUUCCUCCAGAGUCCUGAGAGGAAUCAUAAGAGGGGUUCAUCCAGAUUCUUGAGAGAAAUAUAUCUAGAAACCUAAGAGAGAUUUUUCCGAAAAUAUGAUGAGGGUUCUCCCUAGAAGGGAUUACGAAAACUUCUAGAAUGGACUUCUCCAGCAUCCUGAGACGGAUUCUCUGGAAUUCUGAGAGGUAUUCCCAUAUAAAACAGAAAAGAUACCGCAGAUUCCUGAAAGACAUUGCCCAGAAUCUUUGAAAUGACUCCCCUAAACUUCUGAAAGGGAUUGUACCUGAACUCUGAGAGUGAUUCCUCUAGAAUACUUUAAAUUAUUACACCAGUAUCUCAACAGAAUCUUCCAAUAAUCUAGUCAGGGAUUUUCCCAGAUACUCUCCAAGAAUCCUGAAAGGGAUUUCUGAGAGCAACUCCAGAAUACAGAAAACAUAAUUUUCAGAGAAUCUUGGGAAGAGUACUUAGUGAUAUUCCCCCAGAAUCUUAAAAUGAUCGUACGCUGAAUCCUGAGAAGGAUACCACUAGAAUCCUGUGUGGGAUUCUCUCAGAAUUCUAGGAAAUAUUCCCACAGAAUUCAGAGAGGAAUUUCGCCACAUGUCUGAGAAUGCUGAGUAUGAUUCUCCAAAAAUUCUGAGAGUUCCUGAGAAUGCUAAUAAAAAUUUCCGCAAAAUUCUGAGUGGGAUCCUAAGGGUCUUCCAGAAUCCUUAGAGGGAUCAACCCAGAUCAUCCAGAAAUUACUUAUAAUCCUGAAAGAAAUAUCACCCUUGGUAGGGAAUACCCCAAAACGCUUAGAAUUUCUAGAAAGAUUCCCUAGAAUCACAGACAAACAGACGUACCACUCUUCGAAAGGCCUUGGUACAUGGAUUCAACGAUGAAUUUAAAUUUCGUUUGAUUCCACCGGAGGUGCUAGAAGUUCGGUCGCUUUGACGUUUGCUAGUGUACACGUUCCUGAAUGAUGCAAACGAAAUUUACAGGAGAUUUGUGUAGUAGUAUGCGUGUGUCUCGCGUGGUUCUACCAACAUGAAUUGCCUCAGAAUCCUGAGAGAAGUUUUCCUCGGGAUUCUCCCAGAAUGCUUAGACGGAUAUCCCUAAAACUCCCUGACGGAUUUUUCCAAAAUCCUGAGAGAAAUUCUCCUGCAGUAUUGAAAGACAUCCUAAGAGGGGAUCUUCCAUAUUAUUAAGAGAAAUAAAUUCAAUUAUUCAUCUAGAAUCCUGAUAGGGAUUCUCAAAAAAAAUAUUUUCGGAACGUUGAGAAGGAUGCGCUAGAACUCUGAAAGGGACUCUCUAGACCAUAAGAAGGAUUCCUCCAGGAAUCUGAGAAAGAUUCACCUAGACUAAUGGAAGGGAUUGCCCAAGAAACUCGAGAUUUACAGGUAUACCUCGAUUUAGUGGACCCUCGAUUAUAUGUACUUCGAUUUUAUGUACAUUUUAAAUCGAUUUUAUGUACAUUUUUUUAAUGGUAAAAAAAAAGAAAUUUUAUAUUUUUGAAUCGAAAGAAAAAUCGAAUGUAAAAAAUCGAUUCGGUCGAUUUCGUGGGGCUUCAACAUCGAUUCAAUAAAUCGAUUGAUCGGAACAAAAACAUCGAUUCGCUUUUACUAGUGGCACAGACAAACAGACGUAACACUUCAAAACGGCUUGGCACAUGCAUUUAAUGAUCACUUCAAAUUUCUUUUGAUUAACGCGAUCGUUCCACCAGAAGCGCUAGUGUUCGAUCGCUUUGACGUUUGCCAGUGUAUACGUUGCUGAAUGAUGCAAACGAAAAUUACAGGCAAUUUGUUUAGUAGUGUGCGUGUCAGCAAAACGCCAAAUCGAAAUCCAUCAUGGCCGACAGUGUCGCGCGUGGUUCUAACAACAGGUGGCAGUGUGCUCACGGAAAUGACACCGGGCAAAAGUUUUUGAUGAAUUUCCUCUAAAAGUUACGUCUGUUUGUCUGUGCUAGUGGCAUCUCGGAGUGUUGGAAACUAAACUGAAACUGCUUCGAUUGGUGUGUUGAGGAUACUUGCCAUGUCUUUUUCGAGGGAAACGGCAGCAAUGAUGUAAUCUUCCUCUAGAUGCAAGCUUCUAUCGAUAAGGCGGGAAAGCAUUUUAGCACAUCCAAAUUUGUUGUUUGUUGAGACGUACUGAAUGUCGAAAUCUUAAUUCAGCAUGAUCAGGGUCCAGCGCUGCAAGCGAUUUGCCAUGUGCACCGGAAUACCCUUUUUCGAUCCGAAAAUUGACAGAAGUAGCUUAUGGUCCGUCUGGAGUGUAAAACUUAUAUCCAACAGCAUAUUAUGGAACUUGGUAACUACAUAAACUAGGGCUUACAAGUUUUAUAGGUUUCAGACUUGUCACUAAAAUCAGUUCUCUUGGCAACACUUCUGUGGGAUGACACCGUAAAAACAAACAGUUGCCAAUAUGCGAUCCCCAUUUUGAGACAUUUUGAAAUCCAGCUAAAAAUUUUCACAAACUCCAGUAAUUCAACGCAACGCAUUGUAACAUUGCUCUUCUCACACAUAGUAAAACAAGCUGUAAAUCGCUGCAAAACAUUGUAGGAUAGAACCAAACUUUUUACCAAUACUGCAAACAAGACUUCCCGGAAGAUGAGGCAGGGCGGAAGCCCUGCGUCAUCUGACGCCAUUAUACCCCAAGAAAACAGGAGACAGAGGAGUUGAUAUUGAAACCUUGGAGUAACCCUAUUAAUAGAGCUAAUAAUACACCUAUCGAGUUUUUUCCUCUAAGAAACACGUAGACUAGCGACAAAUAAGGGAGGAAGAAAAUCUCACUUUAAUUCUAAUAUCAGAACCAUUUAAUCCCUGUUUCAGAAAGAUUUUAAGUAUGUAAUAAUUUCAAAAUUAGGAAAAAAAAUGCAAAUACUGUGUCUCAUCUAGGUUUGGAUACGUUUUUAUUAGAGGAGUAGAAAUCGUUUGACAGAAGGAAAUCUAGAAAAUAUGUGUAAUUGGAAAAAUCUAAAAAAAUACUGAUAAUAUUAAACUAAUAAAAUUGGCAACCAAAAUUGUGAUCCCGGUAGAGAUUUAGUUGCGAAAUGAUUGAUAGUUGACCGAAAAAUGACAAGUUGUGCGAUUUUUACCCAAUGGUAGUUUGAGUUUUGUAGAAGUUUAACUUAAGAAAAUCAAAUUCUAAAAUUACAUCACAGUUUUUAAGGUUAUGUUUCAUCAAGCAACGAGCAAAUUUAUUACUGAAAAAAAAACUAAAAGACGUCAAUUCUUGAACAGGUGCGAUUGCA
Long non-coding RNA from Aedes albopictus (Asian tiger mosquito), 11746 nucleotides. RefSeq lists it as uncharacterized. Lineage: Eukaryota; Metazoa; Arthropoda; Insecta; Diptera; Culicidae. The transcript has 2 exons. The record is from RefSeq and is a predicted model, not a curated record.